Molecule: ribosomal RNA, 492 nt
Filed under: uncultured bacterium
Lineage: Bacteria
Description: partial 16S ribosomal RNA
Rfam family: Bacterial small subunit ribosomal RNA
Source: RNAcentral
AGUGAACGCUGGCGGUAGGCCUAACACAUGCAAGUCGAACGGCAGCACAGUAAGAGCUUGCUCUUACGGGUGGCGAGUGGCGGACGAGUGAGGAAUACAUCGGAAUCUACUUUUUCGUGGGGGAUGACGUAGGGAAACUUACGCUAAUACCGCAUACGACCUACGGGUGAAAGCAGGGGAUCUUCGGACCUUGCGCGAUUGAAUGAGCCGAUGUCGGAUUAGCUAGUUGGCGGGGUAAAGGCCCACCAAGGCGACGAUCCGUAGCUGGUCUGAGAGGAUGAUCAGCCACACUGGAACUGAGACACGGUCCAGACUCCUACGGGAGGCAGCAGUGGGGAAUAUUGGACAAUGGGCGCAAGCCUGAUCCAGCCAUACCGCGUGGGUGAAGAAGGCCUUCGGGUUGUAAAGCCCUUUUGUCGGGAAAGAAAAGCAGCAGGUUAAUACCCCGCUGUUCUGACGGUACCCAAAGAAUAAGCACCGGCUAACUUCGUG